This 481-nucleotide ribosomal RNA is filed under the name uncultured bacterium. Its description in RNAcentral is "partial 16S ribosomal RNA". It matches the Rfam family "Bacterial small subunit ribosomal RNA", at positions 28 to 523 of the family's 1533-position model. The record is from RNAcentral.
GACGAACGCUGGCGGCGUGCUUAACACAUGCAAGUCGAACGGUGAAGGGGAGCUUGCUCCCCGGAUCAGUGGCGAACGGGUGAGUAACACGUGGGCAACCUGCCCCUGACUCUGGGAUAACGCUUCGAAAGAGGUGCUAAUACCGGAUACGAACUCCCUUGGCAUCUGGGGAGUUGGAAAGUUUUUCGGUCAGGGAUGGGCCCGCGGCCUAUCAGCUUGUUGGUGAGGUAACGGCUCACCAAGGCGACGACGGGUAGCCGGCCUGAGAGGGCGACCGGCCACACUGGGACUGAGACACGGCCCAGACUCCUACGGGAGGCAGCAGUGGGGAAUAUUGCGCAAUGGGCGAAAGCCUGACGCAGCAACGCCGCGUGAGGGAUGACGGCCUUCGGGUUGUAAACCUCUUUCAGCAGGGAAGAAGCGAAAGUGACGGUACCUGCAGAAGAAGCACCGGCUAACUACGUGCCAGCCGCCGCCGUAA